UGGGGAAUUUUGGACAAUGGGCGGAAGCCUGAUCCAGCCAUGCCGCGUGAGUGAAGAAGGCCUUCGGGUUGUAAAGCUCUUUCGGUGGGGAAGAAAUCGCCUGUGCUAAUACCAUAGGCGGAUGACGGUACCCGCAUAAGAAGCACCGGCUAACUACGUGCCAGCAGCCGCGGUAAUACGUAGGGUGCGAGCGUUAAUCGGAAUUACUGGGCGUAAAGCGUGCGCAGGCGGUUGUGUAAGUCAGACGUGAAAUCCCCGGGCUCAACCUGGGAACUGCGUUUGAGACUGCACGGCUAGAGGAUAGCAGAGGGGGGUAGAAUUCCACGUGUAGCAGUGAAAUGCGUAGAGAUGUGGAGGAAUACCGAUGGCGAAGGCAGCCCCCUGGGCUAUUACUGACGCUCAUGCACGAAAGCGUGGGGAGCAAACA
This 427-nucleotide ribosomal RNA is filed under the name uncultured bacterium. RNAcentral's name for it is "bacterial SSU rRNA". It matches the Rfam family "Bacterial small subunit ribosomal RNA", at positions 355 to 774 of the family's 1533-position model. The record is from RNAcentral.